RNAcentral lists this transfer RNA (71 nucleotides) under Eubacteriales bacterium. RNAcentral describes it as "tRNA-Gly". It matches the Rfam family "tRNA". Rfam says of the family: Transfer RNA (tRNA) molecules are approximately 80 nucleotides in length. Their secondary structure includes four short double-helical elements and three loops (D, anti-codon, and T loops). Further hydrogen bonds mediate the characteristic L-shaped molecular structure. tRNAs have two regions of fundamental functional importance: the anti-codon, which is responsible for specific mRNA codon recognition, and the 3' end, to which the tRNAs corresponding amino acid is attached (by aminoacyl-tRNA synthetases). tRNAs cope with the degeneracy of the genetic code in two manners: having more than one tRNA (with a specific anti-codon) for a particular amino acid; and 'wobble' base-pairing, i.e. permitting non-standard base-pairing at the 3rd anti-codon position. The record is from RNAcentral. Lineage: Bacteria; Bacillati; Bacillota; Clostridia; Eubacteriales.
GCGGGUGUAGUACAUCGGUAGUACGCCAGCCUUCCAAGCUGGAUAGGUGGGUUCGACUCCCAUCACCCGCU